GCCUACACAUGCAGUCGAACGGUAACAGGUCUUCGGAUGCUGACGAGUGGCGGACGGGUGAGUAACGCGUAGGAAUCUGUCUUUGAGUGGGGGACAACCCAGGGAAACUUGGGCUAAUACCGCAUAAGCCCUGAGGGGGAAAGCGGGGGAUCUUCGGACCUCGCGCUGGAAGAGGAGCCUACGUCUGAUUAGCUAGUUGGUAGGGUAAAGGCCUACCAAGGCGACGAUCGGUAGCUGGUCUGAGAGGACGACCAGCCACACUGGGACUGAGACACGGCCCAGACUCCUACGGGAGGCAGCAGUGGGGAAUUUUUCGCAAUGGGGGCAACCCUGACGAAGCAAUGCCGCGUGAAUGAAGAAGGCCUUCGGGUUGUAAAGUUCUUUCGUGGAGGACGAAAAGGUGGGUGCUAAUAUCGCCUGCUGUUGACGUGAAUCCAAGAAGAAGCACCGGCUAACUCCGUGCCAGCAGCCCGGGG
This 476-nucleotide ribosomal RNA is filed under the name uncultured Acidithiobacillus sp. RNAcentral describes it as "bacterial SSU rRNA". It matches the Rfam family "Bacterial small subunit ribosomal RNA", at positions 46 to 520 of the family's 1533-position model. Lineage: Bacteria; Pseudomonadati; Pseudomonadota; Acidithiobacillia; Acidithiobacillales; Acidithiobacillaceae. The record is from RNAcentral.